AUUUUGGUAUAAAAAAGUUGAUAAAAUAUAAAAACGAUCACGUUAUAUUAGUUAAAAAAAAAAAAAAGACGUUAACUUACUAAACAUCGAUAAAGAAGUAUCAUCGGUGGGUAUAUUUGCUCGUCAUUUUGCGAAUCGAGAUAAUAGCUAACAACCAUUUGAGUAUUCAUUAUUGAUAUACGUAGUUAAUUACGACCCAAAUGGAUAAAAAAAAGAUACGAUUAUUUUAAAAAGAAACAAACACGAACGAUUCUACUUUUAUUGCACUCGAUAACUUCGAAAAUGGAAAUUAUAUGGAAAUUAUUGACAAAUGUUUCCUUCGGACAAAUUUAAAGCUAUCUAACACGGUGAUUCACGUUCACGAAAACAGUGGGGGACAAAUGUGAUAUUUAAAA
Molecule: long non-coding RNA, 395 nt
Organism: Apis florea (little honeybee)
Lineage: Eukaryota; Metazoa; Arthropoda; Insecta; Hymenoptera; Apidae
Source: RefSeq, a predicted model, not a curated record